UCCACUUCACUGCCUGCGAGUCAGUAGGGUCUGGACCGGGUAGGAGGCGGGGCCCAGGCUGAGUCAUCAGUCUAACCCAGUCUCUGGGGUCUGACCCCCUGGGCUGCCUGCCCCUGGGCUCCUUAGCUCCAGCGAUGGGCGAAGCUCUUUCACAGUCUUCAUCCUCUUGUCUGUCUCUCCUAGCGCCGCCCUACACCAUCGUCCACUUCCCGACCCGAGGAGUGGUCCCAGUUGAGGGUGUGCAGUGAGCUGUGCACCUCCCCAAGUACCAGGAAGGAUACCUCACUCUGUACCAGUCCAGUGUUAUCCUGCAUCACCUUGGCUGCACCUUUGGAGGAGCGCAAACUCAGGGUGUUUGGGAGCUGCAAGGCACCUGAAGCCUUUUGAGACCCUCUGGCCCAGAACCAGGGAUGACAGGCAUUCAUCAUGGGCGACCAGGUUUCCUUCACCGACCACAACCUGCUGGACUUGCUGCUGGCCCACCAGGUCCUGGUGAGGCAGGAGAAUAGCGUCUGGAGGCAGGGAACCUAAGGCUGUUUCACGCCAACUUCCUAGAACUAAAUUGAAAGGAAAACUUUCCAGCCUAAGUAACAAAAGGACCAGAUGCUGCUCCAUUUGACGUUUUCUGCACAGCAGAUGGGAAAUUGGCUGUCCCCAACAAAUCAGACUGGUUGUGAGUGGGGUCUUCGUUUGCAACUUUGUAACUUCACUCCAGCCUAUGAAUGGUUGCUGUCCACAACCAGACUGAUUGCGGGUGAAAUCUUCGUUUUCAUAUAACUUUGUAACAUAACCCUAGCAAAGGUUUCAUCCAAUCAGAUGUUGGCACAGGAAUGUGACCUUUGUAACUUCACGUCCUCUGAUUGGCUGCUUUCUGCAACCAAUCAGAUUGUGGGCUACCACUUCGUUUACAUGAGGUGAGCAUGAAGUGACCAAUGGGAAACUUCUAGGGGGUAUUUGGACCCAAGAAGAUUCUGUAUCCGGGCCCUUGAGCUGCUGCUGGGCCCACUAUCACGCUGUGGAGUGUACUUUUGUUUUCAGUAAAUCUCUGCUUUUAGGUCAGGCGUGGUGGCUCACUCCUGUAAUCCCAGCACUCUGAGAGGCCAAAGCGGGUGGAUCACCUGAGGUCAGGAGUUUGA
Long non-coding RNA from Chlorocebus sabaeus (green monkey), 1136 nucleotides. RefSeq lists it as uncharacterized. Lineage: Eukaryota; Metazoa; Chordata; Mammalia; Primates; Cercopithecidae. The record is from RefSeq and is a predicted model, not a curated record.